Long non-coding RNA from Rosa rugosa (rugosa rose), 999 nucleotides. RefSeq lists it as uncharacterized. The record is from RefSeq and is a predicted model, not a curated record. Lineage: Eukaryota; Viridiplantae; Streptophyta; Magnoliopsida; Rosales; Rosaceae. The transcript is spliced from 3 exons.
CUGAAUUGUUGUUUUUCCACUGUUUGAUAUGGAUUUAUUUUUCAUUGAUGUAUUGGUUGCUUAUUUUGCCAAUGCCUAGCAUUAGAUUAAUUGGUACACAAAAAAAAUUACCUUUCUCCUGCCUUAAUACCGAGCUGUACUAUAUGUCAUCUAAUAUUGUUGCAAGAGGGAUAUGUGUUUUUUUUUUUCUUACAGAAUUGGUGAAAUAUUUGAGAGUAGAGCUCUUGUUUUUCUUACUAGGUCUAUGCUUGUCUUAUACUUGACAGAGAUAAUUGCAUCCAGUUUGGGACUGGAUUUUUGCAUUGUGCUUAGAGGUGUAUUGUUUUUUCUUUCUUGAAUAUGAAUCCUGUAGUGCAUCGUCUCUUCAAAUUGAUUUUUUGGAAUAUGGAUUCAUGCUAUGUCAGUUGUAUGUAUAUGUCCUAUAUCUUGCUUUUAUGAAAUUUGCAUUUUGGAAAUUUACUAGUUAUGUGACUUUAUCUUAUGUUCAGUAGAAAAAACUAUUUGGAUGGAAGCUUAAUGGCAACACAUGGAAGCUUAGGUGCCAUGCAGAAGUCAUUAUUUGAAUUUUGGUUUAAUUUUUUUGGUCCUUUGACAAGAUAUAUAUGAAGAAACUUAUGCUUUUGCUUGCAGACAUUUAUGAUUUACGUGAGAAAUCGCAUUUGGAGUUGAGACCAUUCAUUAAGGCUGUUUGAAAGUUGCAAAGUUUUCUCCAGGUAAUUCUAACUUUACGAUGGAGGUUUAUGGGAUAAAAAAAAAGACUUAAUGAGCAGGAGCUUGAGUUCAAGUGUUAGAAGUUGCAAUCUCCAGAAAACCUGUUCAAAGUCAAGACAAAUUCAUGGACAUCCACAAUGAAUGCGCUGUGGGUUGAACUUGUAAAGCUAUAGUUAGAUUAUUGUUAGUAGUUAUUAUUGAAUCGUUACUUAUUGCCUAAUAACUUUGUGCUCAUUGUUUUGUAUUUUAGUUAUAAUAGAUAUAUUUGGUUACUAGUCUUGUAUUGAA